AUGUCCCUUGGGAUCCCUGCCAUUUCCAUGCAAAAUGUGAAUUUGGUGAGUUUUUUAUAAAGUUUUUAAACUUGGUGAUCACAGCCAUAGUCAUGUGACAGGAGACCACAUGGCUGCAGCACAAAGACAGCUCCAUGAAGGGAAGUGAUAUAAGAUGGCACGCAAGACCACAUCAGAGAGAUCAAAAGCUUACAGAGAAAGGAUUAAAUCAGACCAGGAUAAAUACCAGGAGUCCCUCAGGAAAGACAGAGAAAGAUACCUGAAAAAAAAGGAACGAGGUGUUGUUAAAUCUGUGUCAGAAUUGUCCAAGAGAGAGAAAAGAAAAACUAGGAGACAAUGGCGAACAUGUCAACGAAACAGACGCAGGAAGUUGAAAAGAGUAGCUGUAGUAGAGAGAUUUAUGGCUGGAACAACCCCACCACAGUCACCAGAAGACGUUCUUGUUGACCCAGAACAUGUCUCACUUGACAACUCCAGCUCCUAUGAGUCCACCUGAAACACAUCAGUUGCCGGCACCUGAAAACCACACACAGAGAAGAAGAGGAAGAAAAAAGGUUGCGAAGACAAGGGCGAAGGUCUGCAGAGAUCUUCAUGCAACAAAUGCAAAGCUGGAAGAUGCCUUAAGGAAGGUUGAGAAGUACAAGAAAAGAUGUCACCGACUUAAGAAGGAAAUGCUGAUGGUCGAUUCACCGAAGCUCAAAACCAAACAACAGAUGAGACAAGGAACAAAAGAUUUAAGAAGAACUCUGCUGUUUCACAACACAAUUAUUUCCCAAAUAAAAAAGAAAUAUCAAAAUAUGCACGCUGCUAAAGAUCAGCAAUUGAGCGCCAAAGUUGUGGCUGGUAGGCUUUUGAAAAAAUACCGCAUGGUCCGCUUCGCUAAAAAGGAGUUUGGGUUCUCACCUAAGCUGUGAAGGGAAAACGUGACGAGGGCCACCAAACGUCGAUACAUCAAGCCAACAAAAUCAGCAAAGAAGUGGAAGAAAAAAUAACAACAUUUAUUGAGCGUGAUAACAACAAUAGGAUAACAACAGGGAAGAAGGAGACAAUUCCAAAGAAUAAGAAAACAAUGCAAAAGCACUUUCUGGUUGAAACAAUGGGAGCGCUGCACAAGAAGUUUCUGAUGGAGAAUCCUGAAGUAACAGUCUCGUACAGCGAAAUUUGCAAAAAGCGACCAUUCUAGAUGGUAAAACCAACAAUCAGGGACAGAGACACAUGCCUCUGUAAAAUACAUGCACAUCUCCCGUUUAUGGCAGACGGCUUUUUUAUCACAAAGUGAUUAAAUGUGCCAAACUCAAUGACCUUACUGAGUCUUUGGCAUGCACAAAUGCAAAAAAAGAGUGCAUGUACAGGAAGGGCCCUGACUGUAAUGAUAAUGAACUGCAAACUUCUGCUUUUGAUAUAAGCGAGCAAACGUGGUGGUUUGAAUGGAGAAGCAAGGUUGAGGAGAGGGAGAAGAAGAAAAAGGAUGGAACAGAAGAAAAGUUUAAAGUUCACUUCACAGCAAAGGAAAAAGUUCAUGGGACUCUACAUACACUGCUGAAUGAUUUUUCAGACCUACUUAAGAAACCCCAGACAUCAGUAUUCAGCUCUCAGAACCCUAAAGCAGCAUUUAGGAGAGGAUGCUAUUAUCUUGCAAAUUGAUUUUGUGGAGAAUUAUAUGUGUAAAUAUGGGAAUGAGAUGCAAGCCGUCCAUUUUGGUGAUUCCCACCAACAAGCUACUCUCCAUACAGGUGUGGCUAACACCAAAAAUGGGGGGGUGUCAGUCUGUUCUAUUGGCUCCUCAAUGGGCCAUGACCCAUCAGCUACCUGGUCUCAUCUCAACACAGUGCUCCCUUACCUCAAAGAGCUGAACCCAACAGCCACAAUGCUGCAUGCAAUCAGUGAUGGGACCACCACACAAUACAGACCCAAGAAAAACUUCUUCUUGAGCAAAAUCCCCUUUCAAAUGGGAUUUCAGGGGAUCAAAUGGAACUUUCUGGAGGCAGGACAUGGAAAAGGCCCGGCUGAUGGAAUUGGUGCAGCAGUUAAACGGAAGGCUGACUCACUAGUAGUAAACGGUACUGAUCUUCCAAAUGGAAAAGUGCUGUAUGAGCAGCUUUCAAAACAGCCAUCUACUGUGAAGCUGAUGUCACUGAGAAGGAGGAAAUGUACAGUUUUCUUCUUGAUGGCCUGCAGACUAUCCGAGGAACAAUACAGAUACAUCAGGUAGACGUUUUCCACCACACCCACAGGCUUUGUUAUGCAAACAUGAUUUAUGAGUGCAAAACACUUUCAUUUUGUUUUCAUCUGUACCGUGUGUAAUUUCACUUCACUUCACUUGGUAUAUACUUUAUGCAAGUUUCACAGAUAAAUACUGUGAGAAUUCAUUUUUAGCUCAAAUUGAAUUAAAACCAGCCUUAGAGGACAGGAAUGUUUUAGUUUGUUUCAAAACAGGAGUUUAAAUUUGAUUUUGUUCUGAAGUUCAACUCACUUAGUUAACCCUUCAUAAAUGUUUCGAUUUGUUAGCUUUGAAACGGAUGACAUUUCAAGCUGUAUAAAUCUAUGGUUUCAUAAUUAGUCCUAAAGUUAGAAUCUCAAAGAUGUUUUUGUUAAACAAGUGCAAAUCCAAAGAAACACAUUUUACGUUCAGAUGGAGACCACAAGUCAAAACUGUCAGUGUUAGAGUGAGGUCCAAAAAUAUAUCUGCAGUUACUAUUCACUGACAAGGAACCACCAAAGAGAAUGAAACAGGGACUUGUACUUCAACAGCUUUCAGCACUUUUCUGCCAAAUGAUUUUAUGUGCUUAAAGGUUAAAGUUUAGAUGAUGAAGUUCUUCCCUUAAAGAAUUGUGGGUUUUUUUGUGUAAGGGAUAAUACAACUGAACAUUGUUAAAUGUUUUUGUGACGUGUCAUUUCCAACACAUGCAGUCUUUUCUGUCACACAAUGUCACCCCCAUCACAACAUAUUGUAACCAAAAAUGCAUACAAAUUGACAUAACCACAUAAAAAUUGUGCAGUUAUAAGUACUAUUAACUAAUAUUUUUCUGUAUGAUUGUGCCAUGUAAGAAAUUGAUUGAAGACUUAAGCAAAGCAGUUCGAAGAUAUUUUUCAUAUAAAGAAUGGAAAAAAAGGUUAUUUUUAAAAUCCUGAAAAUAAAUACAAUUAUACUUUA
Molecule: long non-coding RNA, 3154 nt
Organism: Cottoperca gobio
Lineage: Eukaryota; Metazoa; Chordata; Actinopteri; Perciformes; Bovichtidae
Exons: 2
Source: RefSeq, a predicted model, not a curated record